RNAcentral lists this ribosomal RNA (301 nucleotides) under uncultured bacterium. RNAcentral's name for it is "partial 16S ribosomal RNA". It matches the Rfam family "Bacterial small subunit ribosomal RNA", at positions 509 to 808 of the family's 1533-position model. The record is from RNAcentral.
CAGCCGCCGCGGGAAUACGGGGGGGGCAAGUGUUAUUCGGAAUGACUGGGCGUAAAGGGCACGUAGGCGGUGAAAAGGGUGGAAAGUGAAAGUCGCCAAAACACUGGCGGGGUGCUUUCUUGACCAUUUCACUUGAGUGAGAUAGGGGAGAGUGGAAUUUCGUGUGGAGGGAUCAAAUCCUAAGAUAUACGAAGGAACGCCAACCGCGAAGGCAGCUCUCUGGGUCCCCACUGACGCUGGGGUGCGAAAGCAUGGGGAGCAAACAGGAUCAGAUACCCCCGUAGUCCCUGUCUCUUAUACA